RNAcentral lists this transfer RNA (73 nucleotides) under Diaphorina citri (Asian citrus psyllid). It matches the Rfam family "tRNA". Rfam says of the family: Transfer RNA (tRNA) molecules are approximately 80 nucleotides in length. Their secondary structure includes four short double-helical elements and three loops (D, anti-codon, and T loops). The record is from Rfam by way of RNAcentral. Lineage: Eukaryota; Metazoa; Arthropoda; Insecta; Hemiptera; Psyllidae.
GCCUAGUUAGCUUAGUUGGUAGCGCGUCUGCCUUGUAAGUGCUAAGCCGCGGGUUCGAUUCCCGCCCGGGGCG